This 256-nucleotide long non-coding RNA is filed under the name Lupinus angustifolius (narrow-leaved blue lupine). RNAcentral's name for it is "long non-coding RNA (LANG_LNC000341)". The record is from RNAcentral. Lineage: Eukaryota; Viridiplantae; Streptophyta; Magnoliopsida; Fabales; Fabaceae.
AUAUUUAUAGUCAAAGUAAGAAUUCUCAUAAACAAAUAACUUUAAUAAAUCCAAAGUCUAAAUUACAAAUACAAAUAAUAAUCCACAAGUACUUGUCUUACUUAACAAACUCGAAACAUAUGACGCAAGUUCAUAACUCAGUCUACAAAACAUAUUAUAUAUUUAAAACUUUAACAUCAAUGAGUCAAAGUUGUUUCAUAUUGAGGUUCCAUUUCUUCACCAUUUAAGUCCAAAGCUUGACUAACGUUGUCUUCAA